CAAUAAGCGGAGGAAAAGAAACCAACCGGGAUUGCCUCAGUAACGGCGAGUGAAGCGGCAAGAGCUCAAAUUUGAAAGCUGGCCCCUCCGGGGUCCGCGUUGUAAUUUGCAGAGGAUGCUUUGGGUGCGGCCCCCGUCUAAGUGCCCUGGAACGGGCCGUCAGAGAGGGUGAGAAUCCCGUCUUGGGCGGGGUGUCCGUGCCCGUGUAAAGCUCCUUCGACGAGUCGAGUUGUUUGGGAAUGCAGCUCUAAAUGGGUGGUAAAUUUCAUCUAAAGCUAAAUACUGGCCGGAGACCGAUAGCGCACAAGUAGAGUGAUCGAAAGAUGAAAAGCACUUUGAAAAGAGAGUUAAACAGCACGUGAAAUUGUUGAAAGGGAAGCGCUUGCGACCAGACUCGCCCUCGGGGUUCAGCCGGCACUCGUGCCGGUGUACUUCCCCGGGGGCGGGCCAGCGUCAGCUUGGGCGGCCGGUCAAAGGCCUCCGGAAUGUAGUGCCCCCCGGGGCACCUUAUAGCCGGAGGUGCAAUGCGGCCAGCCUGGGCUGAGGAACGCGCUUCGGCACGGACGCUGGCAUAAUGGUCGCAAACGACCCGUCUUGAAACACGGACCAAGGAGUCUAACAUCUACGCGAGUGUUCGGGUGUCAAACCCGUACGCGCAGUGAAAGCAAACGGAGGUGGGAGCCCCCUCGCGGGGCGCACCAUCGACCGAUCCUGAUGUCUUCGGAUGGAUUUGAGUAAGAGCGUAAAUGUGGGGACCCGAAAGAUGGUGAACUAUGCCUGAAUAGGGCGAAGCCAGAGGAAACUCUGGUGGAGGCUCGCAGCGGUUCUGACGUGCAAAUCGAUCGUCAAAUUUGGGUAUAGGGGCGAAAGACUAAUCGAACCAUCUAGUAGCUGGUCUGCA
RNAcentral lists this ribosomal RNA (901 nucleotides) under Aspergillus oxumiae. RNAcentral describes it as "partial large subunit ribosomal RNA". It matches the Rfam family "Eukaryotic large subunit ribosomal RNA", at positions 44 to 960 of the family's 3401-position model. Lineage: Eukaryota; Fungi; Ascomycota; Eurotiomycetes; Eurotiales; Aspergillaceae. The record is from RNAcentral.